This 43-nucleotide ribosomal RNA is filed under the name Begonia aptera. RNAcentral describes it as "partial 28S ribosomal RNA". RNAcentral also lists the same sequence under 6 other names. Lineage: Eukaryota; Viridiplantae; Streptophyta; Magnoliopsida; Cucurbitales; Begoniaceae. The record is from RNAcentral.
GCGACCCCAGGUCAGGCGGGAUUACCCGCUGAAUUUAAGCAUA